Sphaerodactylus townsendi is the source of this 502-nucleotide non-coding RNA. The record is from the annotation of a RefSeq genome assembly. NCBI's taxonomy places the organism in Eukaryota, Metazoa, Chordata, Lepidosauria, Squamata, Sphaerodactylidae.
AAAAGUUGUGUUAGACACUCUGCGCACACACCCCUUUCAUAAUUCUCUACAGGAUCUUAACAUGGCAACCUGCUUCGUUCCUCUCCUUCUCCUGGCUCUCCUUAUAGGACUUUCGGUCCAGGUCCAGUUAAAGGAAUCUGGGCCAGGAGUGGUGAUACCCGGAGAGACCCUCGAGCUGACCUGCACGGUCACUGGGAUCUCAGUCACAAACAGCUACUGGUGGCACUGGGUUUGUCAGACUCCUGGGAAAGGGCUGGUCUGGAUGGGAGCCUGGGUUGGAAGCACGUACUACGAUCCAGCUUUCAAAAACCGAAUCACCAUCUCGGUGGAUGCUUCACAAACAAAAUAUUUCCUGAGGUUGACCUCAGCGACGGCUGCAGAUUCUGCCAUGUAUUACUGUGCAAGAGGCACAGUGGGGCAGACUCAACCAGGAGCCUGCACAAAAAAGGAGAAGAUUUUGCAACUGUGUGGUAACAACUGGGAUUUCCAGAUCUACAGCUGA